Molecule: ribosomal RNA, 253 nt
Filed under: uncultured bacterium
Lineage: Bacteria
Description: partial 16S ribosomal RNA
Rfam family: Bacterial small subunit ribosomal RNA
Source: RNAcentral
UACAGAGGGGGCAAGCGUUGUUCGGAAUUACUGGGCGUAAAGUGUGCGCAGGUGGCCGCGCAAGUCGAGUGUGAAAGCCCCGAGCUUAACUUGGGAAUUGCGCUCGAAACUACGGUGCUGGAGUGUGGCAGAGGAAGGUGGAAUUCCACGUGUAGCGGUGAAAUGCGUAGAGAUGUGGAGGAACACCGAUGGCGAAGGCAGCCUUCUGGGCCAACACUGACGCUCAUGCACGAAAGCGUGGGGAGCAAACAGG